GUUAAUUAAAACUUCGCUUGAAAUAUUCCCUUGACUGCUUGACCAGUUUCCUUGCAGUUGGCAUUUCCGUUGCGAUAAGUCGCCCAGAUGCUUGUUAAGCCCUCGUUGUUUUUAAAUUUGCUCUUCUAAUUGAGCUGCGUAUGCACAUUUCCUUCCGGUACUUUAUUUUAUUACUAAUACUGCUGUGCCAUAUUCUUCAGAGUAAUGUUUGAACAUAUACUCAUGGUAAUGUUUAAUUCAGAACAAAACAUACCAUUAUGAUCCUCCUCUUUGGCCAGGCUGAGGUUAAUCCUCUGUGAGCAUUAUUUCUAACCGAAAGGAUAGUCGCCUUCCACUAAAAUUAUGGCUGACUUAAGUCAUCUCUCGCCAUCUGAGUAUGAAAAGAUUACUAGCGUUCUGAAGAGGGAUCGAGAAUUAAGAUCUAUGGAAGAGGCUCGUAUUCGGGCGCUGGAUUUAACAGUUCUUUGUUUCCUCACGAACACUUCCUUUAUCAUACGGCAUUGACCAAAAUUCCGAUGCCAUUUCAAACGCCCAUGUGUGAAAAAGGUGGGAGCAAAGUCGAAAAGCAUACAAAUGAAACUUUUCAGCCCACUGGGAUCUUGCUGUCGCUGAUCUUGUAAUGAAUAAAGAAGUCAGUGAUUCUUUUUAUUGUCUGAUUCCGUUUACUGUAGCAGCUUAAAAAAGACAAGUUUGUUCAUAAAUCUUCAGUAAUUCUUAUUAAAAACAGAAUCAUUGUUACACUCAUUAGAAUCAUUGCAGAUUUAGAUUUUAGCACCAUGUCACGAAAAUUAACUUAGGUAGUGACAACCCUUGUCAUUCUGUCUCAUGAAGUAAAUUUUCUUGCAACAACCACGAUA
Molecule: long non-coding RNA, 857 nt
Organism: Stegodyphus dumicola
Lineage: Eukaryota; Metazoa; Arthropoda; Arachnida; Araneae; Eresidae
Source: RefSeq, a predicted model, not a curated record